CGGAUGAGAAAGAGCAAGAGGAAAAACUUAGUCGCUUCUUCGAAAAACAAUUGAAACCAACGAUCCGUGAAGAUUGCAAAGGGGUUGAAGAAUGACAUGUAGAACCAGCAUGAAUUGAAACGAAAUUUUGGCAGCAUUUCACUAGGAAACUGAGGACAAACAUUGAUAAGAUCGAAAUAUGUUGACAAGAUUCAAAACAAACCAACUAAUU
This 211-nucleotide long non-coding RNA is filed under the name Hordeum vulgare. RNAcentral describes it as "long non-coding RNA (HVUL_LNC009355)". The record is from RNAcentral. Lineage: Eukaryota; Viridiplantae; Streptophyta; Magnoliopsida; Poales; Poaceae.